UACGGAAGGGGCAAGCGUUGUUCGGAAUCAUUGGGCGUAAAGGGCGCGUAGGCGGUCUCGUAUGUCUGCUGUGAAAGCGCACGGCUUAACCGUGAAGGGUCGGUGGAAACUGCGAGACUUGAGGCUGGGAGGGGCUGGUGGAAUUCCCCGUGUAGCGGUGAAAUGCGUAGAUACGGGGGAGAACACUCGUGGCGAAGGCGGCCAGCUGGACCAGUCCUGACGCUGAGGCGCGACAGCGUGGGGAGCAAACAGG
Molecule: unclassified non-coding RNA, 253 nt
Filed under: uncultured bacterium
Lineage: Bacteria
Description: contains 16S-23S intergenic spacer region
Rfam family: Bacterial small subunit ribosomal RNA
Source: RNAcentral